AGCUAAUCCGACUUAGGCUCAGAUUGAACGCUGGCGGCAGGCUUAACACAUGCAAGUCGAGCGGUAACAGGAGAAGCUUGCUUCUCGCUGACGAGCGGCGGACGGGUGAGUAAUACUUAGGAAUCUACCUAGUAGUGGGGGAUAGCUCGGGGAAACUCGAAUUAAUACCACAUACGACCUACGGGAGAAAGGGGGCAACUUGUUGCUCUCGCUAUUAGAUGAGCCUAAGUCGGAUUAGCU
This 240-nucleotide ribosomal RNA is filed under the name uncultured bacterium. RNAcentral's name for it is "partial 16S ribosomal RNA". It matches the Rfam family "Bacterial small subunit ribosomal RNA", at positions 1 to 246 of the family's 1533-position model. The record is from RNAcentral.